Molecule: non-coding RNA, 77 nt
Organism: Podarcis lilfordi (Lilford's wall lizard)
Lineage: Eukaryota; Metazoa; Chordata; Lepidosauria; Squamata; Lacertidae
Source: the annotation of a GenBank genome assembly
GCCUGGAUAGCUCAGUUGGUUAGAGUGUGGUGCUGCUAAUGCCAUGGUUGUAGGUUUGACACCCCCUCCCCCAUAUG